GUCUUUCGCUCCAGGUAGAGCUUGGGGUUAGUACAUCACUGGCCUGCGUGCUCCGCUCCAGGAGGUCUCGGUGAUUCUGCCACAGCCUCAUCCUCCGUCGCCCUGUGACCUACUGGUAUUGGAACAUUCAUAGCUAAGACUCCAGGACACCCACAAAGCCGAGAAAUGCUGAGUUUGCGGGUCAGGGCGUCCGGAGACUGGGGAGGCCUCAUCGGAGUCGGCCGGAAAUGGCGGUGGCGGGACCGAGUCUGUGAGCCUGAGCCCCCCUCAGCUCAGCCCUCAGUCUCCUCUGGUGCAGGGUACCCAGGCGUCCUGUACCGUUUCAGCACAGCGGCUUUGGCCCCAGCCUGUAGCCCUCUUUGCGCAGCUCUGCGCCCGCAUCUUCCCCAGCUUGUGAGGUGAUGAGGAGAGGUUCACCAGGGAAAGACGCCGACUUGGUGUGCAGGGCUUCUGCGUGGAAGGAGCUCUGGUCUGUGGGGUCACCAGUCCCUACUUUAACCUAUUCAGACAUAAACGGAGGCACCAUUAAAACAUUAAAGAAUUUAUAUGAGCAAACAGUGAUGAACCAGUGGGACAGCCCCAGACAUGGUUUGUCGUUUGGGGGCUACCAGCGGGUCUUGAAGAAAAGGCUUUAAGUCUGCACAUGUCUCCAAGGAGUCUGAGGACAAGUGCAAAGUCAACAACAAGCAAUGAUGGUGGUGGUGAUCCUAGUCAAUAAAAAGGGGGAAGAUGUGGGUGGCAAGCCACCCAGGUGCCAAAGCAAGAGACUGAGGGCACAAGCUAUUCCAGUAUAAUAAAGAAAAUAUAUAGUAUAAGAAUAGUUCUACUAGAAAUAGAUUAUGGAUAUGAUUAUAUAUGAAUGUCAUUAAUCAUUAGUUUGUAGCAUUAUUCUUUAUUCUAAUAUUAUAAUAAUCUUUGUUCUACAAUUAUAACCUAGGAAAAACCAGGCCCUACAGAGAUAGGAGGUGAAGGGACAUGGUGAGAAGUGACCAGAAGUCAAGAAUGUUAGCCCUCUGUUACGCCCAGACAGGGCCACUAGUGGGCUCCCUGGUCUAGCAGUAAUGCCAGCACCCAUUACCUAGCAGACCUUGGUCUAGCAGUAGCAUCAGUGCCUAGGGAAGGCACCCAUUACUUAGCAGACCAGGAAAGGGAGUCUCCCUUUCCCCGGGGGAGUUAGAGAAGACUCUGCUCCACCACCUCUUGUGGAAGGCCUGACAUCAGUCAGGCCCGCCUGCAGCCAUCUGGAGGCCUAACCGUCUCCCUGUGAUGCUGUGCUUCAAUAGUCACGCUCCUGGUCCACUUUCAUGUUCCACUCUGUAUACCUGGCUCUGCCUUCUAGAUAGCAGUAGCAGAAUUAGUGAAAGUACUAAAAGUCUUUGAAAUGCAUAAAAGAAAUAGUGGUGUAAUCUGUCCUCUCUCUCUCUCCACCUCGGCUGCCAAACAGGGAAGGGCCCCCUGUCCAGUGGACACGUGACUCGUGUGACCUUACCUAUCAUUGGAGAUGGCUCACACUCCUUACCCUGCCCCCUUGUCUUGUAUCCAACAAAUAACAGCAUGGCCAGGCAUUCAGGGCCACUACCAGUCUCCACACCUUGGUGGUAGUGGUCCUCCGGGCCCAGCUGUCUUUUCUUCUAUCUCUGUCUUGUGUCUUUAUUUCUAUGAUCUCUCAUCUCCGCACAUGAGGAGAAAAAACCCACAGACCCUGUAGGGCUGGGCCCUACAUAACUGUGUAGAGGUAUUAGACUCAGUUUAUUCUAGUGGGCCCAACCUCCGAGACCAUCUUGAGUAUCAGGAGACUGUGAGCUAUACUUGGAUGGGAGCAGCUUUGCCAACCUCUGCAAAGUGACUCUGAAAAAGAUGGCAAGCCCUGCUCCAGUCACACCUGGAAGCUGACUGGUUCCCGCAUCACCAAAGCAUGAGGAAAUUAAUCACAGGACUCAUUUCCCUGAAAAUUUGGACUUGUACAGUAAGGACUUCAACUGACCUUCCUCAGACUGAGGACUGUUCCCAAUAUAUACAUCAAGUCACUGAGGUAGGACAAAAGUUUGCUACAGUCCUAUUAUUUUAUGGUUAUUUUAAGUGUACCAGGACUCUAAAAGGAACUUGUUUGUAUAAUGCUAUUCUAUACAAGGUAUGUAGCCCACGAAAUGACCAGCCUGAUGUGUGCUAUAACCCAUCUUUUUUCCUACUGCCCAUAAAAACAGGCGAACUUCUAGGUUUCCUGGUCUAUGCUUCCCGAGAAAAGAGAAGCAUAGCUAUAGGCGACUGAAAAGAUGACAAGUGGCCCCCUGAAAGAAUCAUACAGUACUAUGGGCCUGCCACUUAGGCACAAGACAGCUCAUGGGGAUACCGAAUCCCCAUUUAUAUGCUCAACUGAAUCAUACGAUUACAAGCUGUCUUAGAAAUAAUCACUAAUAAAACUGGCAGAGCUUCAACUGUUUUAGCCCAGCAAGAAACCCAGAUGAGAAAUGCUAUCUAUAAAUAUAGACUAGCCCUAGACUACUUGCUAACAGCUAAAGGAGGGGUCUGUGGGAAAUUUAACCUUACUAAUUGCUGUCUACACAUAGAUGACCAAGGGCAAGUAGUUGAAGACAUAGUUAGAGACAUGACAAAACUGGCACAUGUGCCUGCGCAAGUGUGGCAUGGAUUUAAUCCUGGGGCCAUGUUUGAAAAAUGGUUCCCAGCACUAGGAGGAUUUAAAACUCUUAUAGUAGGAGUUAUAAUAGUAAUAAAAACAUGCUUACUGCUCCCUUGUUUGCUAUGUACUUCUUCAAAUGAUAAAAAGCUUCAUCGCUACCUUAGUUCACCAAAAUGCUUCAGCACAAGUGUACUAUAUGAAUCACUAUCGAUCUGUCUUACAGGAAGACAUGAGUAGUGAGGAUAAAGGUGAGAACUUCCACUAAUGAGAGAGGUUCUCAAACGGGGGGAAAAAGGGAGGAGACCACCCCUCAUAUUGUCUUAUGCCUAGUUUCUGCCUCCAAAGAAAGAAGAAGUGAAAACUGAAAGGCAGAAAUGGAAUCCACAGGCAGAUAGCCCAGCAUCAUGCCCUGGGCCUGCUAGUUAAAAAUCCACCCCUGACCUAACUGCUUGUGUUAUCUAUAGAUUUCAGACAUUGUAUGGAAAAGCAUCAUGAAAAUCCCUAUCCUGUUCUGUUCUGUUCUGACUAGUGGUACAUGCAGCCCCCAGUCACAUACCCUCUGCUUGCUCAAUCAAUCAUGACCUUUUCAGGCGGACCCCGUUAUAGUUGUAAGCCCUUGAAAGGGACAGGAAUUGCUCACUCAGGGAGCUCAGUUUUUGGAGAUGUGAGUCUUCCAAUGCUGCCAGCUGAAUAAAGCCCUUUCCUUCUGCAACUCGGUGUCUGAGGGGUUCUUGUCUGUGUCUCAUCCUGCUACAACAGAGGUGGGCAGAUCACGAGGUCAGGAGUUCCAGACCAGCCUGACCAACAUGGUGAAACCCCGUCUCUAGUAAAAAUACAAAAAUUAGCCAGGCGUGGUGGUGCAAGCCUUUAAUCCCAGCUACUCAGGGGGCUGAGGCAGGAGAAUCACUUGAACCCGGG
Molecule: long non-coding RNA, 3556 nt
Filed under: Homo sapiens (human)
Lineage: Eukaryota; Metazoa; Chordata; Mammalia; Primates; Hominidae
Description: non-protein coding lnc-ZNF430-3:4
Source: RNAcentral